GACGAACGCUGGCGGCGUGCUUAACACAUGCAAGUCGAACGGAAAGUCCCUGCUUUUUUGGGGUGCUCGAGUGGCGACCUGGUGAGUUACACGUGAGUAACCUGCCCUUGACUUUGGGAUAUCUUCAGGAAACUUGGUCUCAUACCGGCUAGGAGCUCCUGCUGCAUGGUGGGGGUUGGAAAGUUUCGGCGGUUGGGGAUGGACUGGCGCCUUAUCACAUUGUUGGUGGGGUAGUGGCUUACCAUGGCUUGGACGGGUAGCCGACCUGGGAGGGUAACCGGCCACACUGGGACUGAGAUACGACCCAGACUACAACGGGAGGCAGGGGUGGAGAGGAUUACACAAUAGGCUGAAGCAUGAUGCAACAACGCCGCGUGCGGGAUGAGGGCCAGGGGGUUGGAAAGCGAUGUCGCCUGAGACGAGGCGUGAGUGACGGUAAUGGGUAAAGAAGCACCGGCUAACUACGUG
RNAcentral lists this ribosomal RNA (468 nucleotides) under uncultured bacterium. Its description in RNAcentral is "partial 16S ribosomal RNA". It matches the Rfam family "Bacterial small subunit ribosomal RNA", at positions 28 to 507 of the family's 1533-position model. The record is from RNAcentral.